RNAcentral lists this ribosomal RNA (497 nucleotides) under uncultured bacterium. RNAcentral describes it as "partial 16S ribosomal RNA". It matches the Rfam family "Bacterial small subunit ribosomal RNA", at positions 28 to 507 of the family's 1533-position model. The record is from RNAcentral.
GAUGAACGCUGGCGGCGUGCCUAAUACAUGCAAGUCGAGCGAACAGACGAGGAGCUUGCUCCUCUGACGUUAGCGGCGGACGGGUGAGUAACACGUGGAUAACCUACCUAUAAGACUGGGAUAACUUCGGGAAACCGGAGCUAAUACCGGAUAAUAUAUUGAACCGCGUGGUUCAAUAGUGAAAGACGGUUUUGCUGUCACUUAUAGAUGGAUCCGCGCCGCAUUAGCUAGUUGGUAAGGUAACGGCUUACCAAGGCAACGAUGCGUAGCCGACCUGAGAGGGUGAUCGGCCACACUGGAACUGAGACACGGUCCAGACUCCUACGGGAGGCAGCAGUAGGGAAUCGGCCGCAAUGGGCGAAAGCCUGACGGAGCAACGCCGCGUGAGUGAUGAAGGUCUUCGGAUCGUAAAACUCUGUUAUUAGGGAAGAACAAAUGUGUAAGUAACUAUGCACGUCUUGACGGUACCUAAUCAGAAAGCCACGGCUAACUACGUG